AUCUUGGGAUCUUUCAUCUGUGUGGUGAUGGGCGUUCAUGUCACUGCAUGAAAUGUGCUCCCCCCCCCCUUGUUAUCACAUUGACACAGGACCCUUUUGAUA
This is a small nucleolar RNA of Onychomys torridus (southern grasshopper mouse), 102 nucleotides long. RefSeq annotates it as small nucleolar RNA U13. The transcript has a single exon. NCBI's taxonomy places the organism in Eukaryota, Metazoa, Chordata, Mammalia, Rodentia, Cricetidae. The record is from RefSeq and is a predicted model, not a curated record.